UGACUCAUGAUGAGCUAUGUUGUCUGAAGUGAAUGACGUGAAGGUCACCCGAAAACUCUGAAGUCC
Non-coding RNA from Myotis davidii, 66 nucleotides. The record is from Rfam. Lineage: Eukaryota; Metazoa; Chordata; Mammalia; Chiroptera; Vespertilionidae.